GAUGAACGCUGGCGGCGUGCCUAAUACAUGCAAGUCGAGCGAACAGACGAGGAGCUUGCUCCUCUGACGUUAGCGGCGGACGGGUGAGUAACACGUGGAUAACCUACCUAUAAGACUGGGAUAACUUCGGGAAACCGGAGCUAAUACCGGAUAAUAUAUUGAACCGCAUGGUUCAAUAGUGAAAGACGGUUUUGCUGUCACUUAUAGAUGGAUCCGCGCCGCAUUAGCUAGUUGGUAAGGUAACGGCUUACCAAGGCAACGAUGCGUAGCCGACCUGAGAGGGUGAUCGGCCACACUGGAACUGAGACACGGUCCAGACUCCUACGGGAGGCAGCAGUAGGGAAUCUUCCGCAACGGGCGAAAGCUUGACGGAGCAACGCCGCGUGAGUGAUGAAGGUCUUCGGAUCGUAAAACUCUGUUAUUAGGGAAGAACAAAUGUGUAAGUAACUAUGCACGUCUUGACGGUACCUAAGCAGAAAGCCACGGCUAACUACGU
RNAcentral lists this ribosomal RNA (496 nucleotides) under uncultured bacterium. Its description in RNAcentral is "partial 16S ribosomal RNA". It matches the Rfam family "Bacterial small subunit ribosomal RNA", at positions 28 to 506 of the family's 1533-position model. The record is from RNAcentral.